RNAcentral lists this ribosomal RNA (254 nucleotides) under uncultured bacterium. Its description in RNAcentral is "partial 16S ribosomal RNA". It matches the Rfam family "Bacterial small subunit ribosomal RNA", at positions 524 to 776 of the family's 1533-position model. The record is from RNAcentral.
CACGUAGGGGGCGAGCGUUGUCCGGAUUUAUUGGGCGUAAAGAGCUCGUAGGCGGUUCGGCAAGUCGGGUGUGAAAUUUCGAGGCUCAACCUCGAAACGCCACUCGAUACUGCUGCGACUGGAGUCCGGUAGAGGAGUGCGGAAUUCCUGGUGUAGCGGUGAAAUGCGCAGAUAUCAGGAAGAACACCAAUGGCGAAAGCAGCUCUCUGGGACGGUACUGACGCUGAGACGCGAAAGCGUGGGGAGCGAACAGG